Molecule: ribosomal RNA, 253 nt
Filed under: uncultured bacterium
Lineage: Bacteria
Description: partial 16S ribosomal RNA
Rfam family: Bacterial small subunit ribosomal RNA
Source: RNAcentral
UACGGAGGGUGCGAGCGUUGUCCGGAAUCACUGGGCGUAAAGGGCGCGUAGGCGGUCGGGGAAGUCCGUGGUGAAAACUCGAGGCUCAACCUCGAGACGUCGGUUGGAACCGUUUGGCUAGAGUCCGGAAGAGGAGAGUGGAAUUCCUGGUGUAGCGGUGAAAUGCGCAGAUAUCAGGAAGAACACCCGUGGCGAAGGCGGCUCUCUGGGACGGUACUGACGCUGAGACGCGAAAGCGUGGGGAGCGAACAGG